RNAcentral lists this ribosomal RNA (471 nucleotides) under uncultured bacterium. RNAcentral's name for it is "bacterial SSU rRNA". It matches the Rfam family "Bacterial small subunit ribosomal RNA", at positions 335 to 798 of the family's 1533-position model. The record is from RNAcentral.
ACUCCUACGGGAGGCAGCAGUGGGAAUAUUGCACAAUGGGCGCAAGCCUGAUGCAGCCAUGCCGCGUGUGUGAAGAAGGCCUUCGGGUUGUAAAGCACUUUCAGUCGUGAGGAAGGUAGUGUAGUUAAUAGCUGUAUUAUUUGACGUUAGCGACAGAAGAAGCACCGGCUAACUCCGUGCCAGCAGCCGCGGUCAUACGGAGGAUCCAAGCGUUAUUCGGAAUGACUGGGCGUAAAGAGUUGCGUAGGCGGCUUGUUAAGCAUGUAGUGAAAUUUCGGGGCUCAACCCCGGAACUGUUACGUGAACUGACAAGCUAGAGUAUAUGAGGGGAGCUUAGAAUUCCUAGUGUAGGAGUGGAAUCCGUAGAUAUUAGGAGGAAUACCAAUGGCGUAGGCAGAGUUCUGGCAUAUUACUGACGCUAAGGCACGAAAGCGUGGGGAGCAAACAGGCUUAGAUACCCUGGUAGGCUCU